UCUGUGCAGGUGCAAGCGAUGGCCCUCAGCCUGGAGGAGGCGGGCCGGGAGAAGGAGAAGGAGUGAGAGAAAAACAGCUACUCUGUCUUCCCUAAAACAUCUUCAAGGUCUCUGGCAAGAGAUAUAUUCCCAAGGGGAGACAGCACCCAGCCAGGAGAUCUGUUCGACGCUCAACGGGUCUCUCUGUCUGUCUCUCCCUCUCAGUGAUCAGGUGGCAGGCUGCGCAUUCUCCAGCUCUCACUCGCUGUUUCUUUUUCCUAUGCAUAUACCUCUUUGAGAUGUUGCUUUAAAGAGGCAUAAGGCAUGGGAAAAGGGGGCUGUUGAGGUAUUCCACUUGGUGCCAACCAACAGCCCAAGGCUGUGUCAUGUGGUCUUGUGCCUGAGCGAGCCAUCGCUGUGUUUUCUCCUGCUCCUCUGCUGAUUUCAACCAGAGCAAAAGUUUGUUGGUGUGUGUGUCUGUGUGUGUGUGUGGGUGUGUGUGAGAGAGAGAGUGAGAGAGAGAGUGAGAGAGAUGAACUGUCUGUACUGCCAUUUCACAGUGGUCUUUAGAGAGGGGUUGAGGAAUGGUACAGCAAGCAUUAGAGACAUGUUUUCAGUUGCAGUGUAAAGUGCUGAUUCAAUAAUAAAAAAAAUCAAAGAAA
This is a long non-coding RNA of Alosa alosa (allis shad), 641 nucleotides long. RefSeq lists it as uncharacterized. The record is from RefSeq and is a predicted model, not a curated record. The transcript is spliced from 2 exons. Lineage: Eukaryota; Metazoa; Chordata; Actinopteri; Clupeiformes; Clupeidae.